This is a long non-coding RNA of Onychostoma macrolepis, 1070 nucleotides long. RefSeq lists it as uncharacterized. NCBI's taxonomy places the organism in Eukaryota, Metazoa, Chordata, Actinopteri, Cypriniformes, Cyprinidae. The record is from RefSeq and is a predicted model, not a curated record. The transcript has 5 exons.
ACAAACGCAUGCGGCGCCAUCUUGUGUCUCAGUUAUCUAUUGUAGUUGAUCGAAGAGUAGCCUACUGUAUAUUUCUGCAGUGUUCCUCUUGUUGCUAGGUUGAAUGUUUUGUACACUGUAAUGGGCUAUUUUUUUCUUAGAGAAAGCUUUAAGGGUACUGGAUAUCCACUUUAUUUUUAAGCUAACCGCUAGUGCGCUAAGGCUUCCAGAUUCAGCUGCUUCAGUUGGUGUAUCUCUACACAAAAACAGCUUAUUAUGCUGCUUGAUGUUGCAAAUUGGUAUCCAAGAGGCAUUUCAGAGGAGACAUCUUUGGUUGUCUGGCAUUCUGUGAUCACCCCAUUGUCACUGGUUGCUAUUGGAGAUGAAAUAUCACCAUCACGGUCAUCAUCACCCUCAUUACUAGAGGCAGGCUCAAUAACAACAGAAGGGAUAGGCAUCUUUUCCUGAGGUGAGGGAAAGAAACAGCAUCAAUCAACAUGCAGCUCAAGUGACAAACCUAAAGUUUGUGGUCUGGAUCAUGUCAUCAGCAUUCCAGUUGGAGGCUUUUGUGAUUGCCAUCGUAACAGGGAUAACAUCAACUGGUCACCUUAGCCACCAGAUCCAGUCUGUAUCCAGAUCAGAUGGUCACUGCAGUCUCCCGGAUCCGUUCCGUAUCCAGAUCAGAUGGUGGAUCAGCACCUAGAGAUGACCUCUACAGCCCUGAACAUGCGGAGACCAGGACACCUAGAUGAGCCCUAAAGACAGAUCCCCAGUGAAGACCUCAUCUCCUAGACGGCAAUCGGGACAGAACCUGCUGGUUCAUUCCGAGAAUCAACCCUGUUGGCAUACCAUUCAGAGUCACAGAUCAGAUGGAAUUCUGGAAAGAGGGUGCAAAGAAAAAGCAUCAGCCUGAAUCCCCUCAUGGUGUUUCUCAUCAGAGAGCUAAUCAACUUUGCCAAAAUUACUGAAAUUUAACAACACAAAUUCAUUUUUACUAUAUUUUAUUUCUGUGAAGUCUGUUUUGCCAUACUGCAGAUACAAAGUCCCCAGGGGACUGUGGUGAUGCCCUUUUUCAGCUAUGCAUGCUAAAG